CUACGUGCCAGCAGCCGCGGUAAUACGUAGGUCCCGAGCGUUGUCCGGAUUUAUUGGGCGUAAAGCGAGCGCAGGCGGUUAGAUAAGUCUGAAGUUAAAGGCUGUGGCUUAACCAUAGUACGCUUUGGAAACUGUUUAACUUGAGUGCAAGAGGGGAGAGUGGAAUUCCAUGUGUAGCGGUGAAAUGCGUAGAUAUAUGGAGGAACACCGGUGGCGAAAGCGGCUCUCUGGCUUGUAACUGACGCUGAGGCUCGAAAGCGUGGGGAGCAAACAGGAUUAGAUACCCUGGUAGUCCACGCCGUAAACGAUGAGUGCUAGGUGUUAGACCCUUUCCGGGGUUUAGUGCCGUAGCUAACGCAUUAAGCACUCCGCCUGGGGAGUACGACCGCAAGGUUGAAACUCAAAGGAAUUGACGGGGGCCCGCACAAGCGGAGGAACAUGUGGUUUAAUUCGAUGAUACGCGAGGAACCUUACCCGGGCUUGAAUUGCAGAGGAAGGAUUUAGAGAUAAUGACG
RNAcentral lists this ribosomal RNA (515 nucleotides) under uncultured bacterium. RNAcentral's name for it is "bacterial SSU rRNA". It matches the Rfam family "Bacterial small subunit ribosomal RNA", at positions 501 to 1014 of the family's 1533-position model. The record is from RNAcentral.